CCAAAGGCCCUCUUUAGGGCCACCAAUGUUACUUUUUUAUCAUUUU
Molecule: non-coding RNA, 46 nt
Organism: Strongyloides papillosus
Lineage: Eukaryota; Metazoa; Nematoda; Chromadorea; Rhabditida; Strongyloididae
Source: Rfam